Molecule: small RNA, 315 nt
Filed under: Pan troglodytes (chimpanzee)
Lineage: Eukaryota; Metazoa; Chordata; Mammalia; Primates; Hominidae
Description: processed transcript
Source: RNAcentral
CCUUUAUGGAUGAUGGUGGCUUUAACUUGCGGCCUGGCGUGGAGACCUCCAUCAGCAUGAGGAAGGAAACCCUGGACAGACUUGGGGGCGAUUAUGGCGACUGCACCAAGAAUGGCAGUGAUGUUCCUGUCGAGAACCUUUACCCUUCAAAGUACACACAGCAGGUGUGUAUUCACUCCUGCUUCCAGGAGAGCAUGAUCAAGGAGUGUGGCUGUGCCUACAUCUUCUAUCCGCGGCCCCAGAACGUGGAGUACUGUGACUACAGAAAGCACAGUUCCUGGGGUGAGACUCCAGGGAGCCCCCACCCUGCCCCAC